GAUGAAUAACGCAGCGAAAUGCGAUAAGUAAUGUGAAUUGCAGAAUUCAGUGAAUCAUCGAAUCUUUGAACGCACAUUGCGCCCGCCAGUAUUCUGGCGGGCAUGCCUGUCCGAGCGUCAUUUCAACCCUCGAACCCCUCCGGGGGGUCGGCGUUGGGGAUCGGGAACCCCUAAGACGGGAUCCCGGCCCCGAAAUACAGUGGCGGUCUCGCCGCAGCCUCUCCUGCGCAGUAGUUUGCACAACUCGCACCGGGAGCGCGGCGCGUCCACGUCCGUAAAACACCCAACUUCUGAAAUGUUGACCUCGGAUCAGGUAGGAAUACCCGCUGAACUUAAGCAUAUCAAUAAGCGGAGGA
This 356-nucleotide unclassified non-coding RNA is filed under the name soil metagenome. RNAcentral's name for it is "partial contains 5.8S ribosomal RNA, internal transcribed spacer 2, and large subunit ribosomal RNA". The stretch from base 1 to 120 matches the Rfam family "5.8S ribosomal RNA", at positions 35 to 154 of the family's 154-position model. The record is from RNAcentral.